UUCCUCUUCUCUAAAAAUCAU
RNAcentral lists this non-coding RNA (21 nucleotides) under Caenorhabditis elegans. The record is from RNAcentral. Lineage: Eukaryota; Metazoa; Nematoda; Chromadorea; Rhabditida; Rhabditidae.